Molecule: transfer RNA, 65 nt
Filed under: Dipodomys ordii (Ord's kangaroo rat)
Lineage: Eukaryota; Metazoa; Chordata; Mammalia; Rodentia; Heteromyidae
Rfam family: tRNA
About the family: Transfer RNA (tRNA) molecules are approximately 80 nucleotides in length.
Source: Rfam by way of RNAcentral
GGUGGUUCAGUGGUAGAGUGCUUGCCUGGCAUGCAUGAGGCCCUGGGUUUGAUUCCCCAGCACCA